CAGCCGCCGCGGUAAUACGUAGGGUGCGAGCGUUAAUCGGAUUUACUGGGCGUAAAGCGUGCGCAGGCGGCCCGUUAAGACAGGUGUGAAAUCCCUAGGCUCAACCUAGGAAUUGCGCUUGUGACUGGCGGGCUCGAGUACGGUAGAGGGGGGUGGAAUUCCUGGUGUAGCAGUGAAAUGCGUAGAGAUCAGGAGGAACACCGAUGGCGAAGGCAGCCCCCUGGGCCUGUACUGACGCUCAUGCACGAAAGCUUGGGGAGCAAACAGGAUUAGAUACCCUGGUAGUCCACGCCCUAAACGAUGGGUACUAGCCGUUUGGUGCGCGAUAGCGCUGAGUGGCGAAGCUAACGCGUGAAGUACCCCGCCUGGGGAGUACGGCCGCAAGGUUGAAACUUAAAGGAAUUGGCGGG
RNAcentral lists this ribosomal RNA (410 nucleotides) under uncultured microorganism. RNAcentral describes it as "bacterial SSU rRNA". It matches the Rfam family "Bacterial small subunit ribosomal RNA", at positions 509 to 917 of the family's 1533-position model. The record is from RNAcentral.